RNAcentral lists this transfer RNA (1051 nucleotides) under uncultured cyanobacterium. RNAcentral describes it as "partial contains 16S ribosomal RNA, 16S-23S ribosomal RNA intergenic spacer, and 23S ribosomal RNA". The stretch from base 275 to 348 matches the Rfam family "tRNA". The record is from RNAcentral. Lineage: Bacteria; Bacillati; Cyanobacteriota.
UGGAUCACCUCCUAACAGGGAGACAAAACCCGAUGUUGAUGUCUGGAUGAAUUUAGAUUCCAGGCCAAUGUCCUGUCACCUUAGGUCGAUCGGUACCUCGAGGUGAGGUUAUCAGAGAGCUGAGAGAUCAGCAGAUCUGAGGGCCUUACUUUCAGUUUCUAGACGUUGUCUAGGUCACCCCCUAGGGGUAAUCAAUGCGGGGAAGCAAGACCUGGUUGCAAGAGAUCAGGAUUUGAUUGUCGGCGUUGAUUGUCCACAAGAGGUCAGAGCUCCUGGGCCAUUAGCUCAGGUGGUCAGAGCGCACCCCUGAUAAGGGUGAGGUCCCUGGUUCAAGUCCAGGAUGGCCCAUUCGAGAUUGGGGGUUUAGCUCAGUUGGUAGAGCGCCCGCUUUGCAAGCAGGAUGUCAGCGGUUCGAGUCCGCUAACCUCCAUACCAACGCUGACCGCAAUCCGAAGGGGAUCCGCAAGCCCAGAGCCACGAGAGGGGAAUCAAUCCCGGAUCAAGGCUUGAUCAAGGCUGGAUCAACAGGAGAGCCGAGGGGUGAUGAGGACAGAUUGGGAAGGAGAGGACUGGGAUGGAUUCCAGCCUUCAGGAUCAGCGGCCGUGAUGGUGCUGAUGUUGAAUGCUGGAUUCACAGCUUGACUGGCACGACCAGUGAGUUGCUGAAGACCAGCGGAACCUUGACAACUGCAUAGGUAAGUCUGGAAAUAAGCAUCUCAUGGAUGCCAGAUCCAGUUAGGGCUGAACGCUGGACGUUGACGUGUGGAGAGGCAAGCGAUUGCUGAUUGACGCGUUGAGGUCUGCUGUGAGGUUGUGGCUGGAUGUGGAGAUUCUAUUGAGUUUAGAGCCAAGACAUCUGAGCGAGCACUGCUAGCAGAGAUAGGGACUGGUGAUUGUCGCUAAAGAGGAAACUCAAUGGCUGCAAUUCCGGUUGUCAUGAAAACUGGCAACCAAGGUCUUGCGUCAAAGCCAGGAGUGUGAAGCGAGGGUGAGUUUGGUCAAGCUACAAAGGGCUCACGGUGGAUACCUUGGCACACAGAGGCGAUGAAGG